This 433-nucleotide ribosomal RNA is filed under the name uncultured bacterium. RNAcentral's name for it is "partial 16S ribosomal RNA". It matches the Rfam family "Bacterial small subunit ribosomal RNA", at positions 29 to 507 of the family's 1533-position model. The record is from RNAcentral.
AACGAACGCUGGCGGCAUGCCUAACACAUGCAAGUCGAACGAGACCUUCGGGUCUAGUGGCGCACGGGUGCGUAACGCGUGGGAACCUGCCCUUAGGUUCGGAAUAACUCCCCGAAAGGGGUGCUAAUACCGGAUAAUGUCUUCGGACCAAAGAUUUAUCGCCUUUGGAUGGGCCCGCGUUGGAUUAGCUAGUUGGUAGGGUAAAAGCCUACCAAGGCGACGAUCCAUAGCUGGUCUGAGAGGAUGAUCAGCCACACUGGGACUGAGACCCGGCCCAGACUCCUACGGGAGGGAGCAGUGGGGAAUAUUGGACAAUGGGCGAAAGCCUGAUCCAGCCAUGCCGCGUGAGUGAUGAAGGCGUUAGGGUUGUAAAGCUCUUUUACCCGGGAUGAUAAUGACAGUACCGGGAGAAUAAGCUCCGGCUAACUCCGUG